UAAAAACGACUUCGGAUGGCUUUCUUUACAGAUUAAAACUUGCUGUUAGAAAUCAUACUUUAUCCUAACUUCUAUCUGAAAUUCAAAAUCCAUGUUCCAGCAGAAAUCAAAAGGAAACUUUGUAAUUCUAGAUCUAGUUGUUUUUCUUCUUAAAUCAUCAGGGGAAGGUGUUUUAUUUUUCUAAUUUUCCCGACACGAGAACUCGUCAAAAUGGGUAGAAGAAUCUCUUCUCGUAGUGUUGAGGUAAUCGUCUGCAACUUCACAAAGAAGGAUUUAACUGCAUCAUAGAUUGGUACUAAUUUCAUGAUUCUCAUGGUAUACGAUAUAUUGCUUACAGCCUUGACACAUUUGAAAGAUGUGUGGGUUGUUAGUUGUUUAGAUCUGUUUGCAAUGAGGUUGUUUGUUGAUGAUUCUCCACAAAAGAAGGUUCGAUUUCCAACACUCUCAGGUGAGAAGAAGUUGACACCACAGCCACUGCAGAGGACAGGUUUCUUCUCAGUGCUGGAAUCUAGUAUGUUAUCUCCUAGCACUACAGGUGAAGCUUGGGUUAGCCAAGCAUGGAAAGCCAAUUGGUCUUGACGAGAAGCUCAAGGUUGAUAUGAUAGUUAUUGGUUCGGUUGCCGUUGAUCCAAAGACAGGAGCACGGCUUGGUAAAGGCGAGGGGUUUGCGAUACAUGGGAGCAAUUGAUGACAAUACUCCAGUUGUCACUGAGUAGAACUUUAUGUAGCUACUUCUUAUAUCUUUUCCAUGUCAAAGUAAUGCAUUCAAUUCGGUUCACCUCAUUUUGGAAACCAGUUGAAACGCUGAUAAAAUUCAUGACCUAUAAUCCUACAAUUUCAAAUCAUGUUUAUUUUUAUCGGCCUCUUGACAUGAUUCUUACUCUGUCCUUUCUCCUUUUGUCUCAGUGUUAGUGUCUUGUAGUAUUGUUUUUAUUUAAUAUCUUACUGAUACUGGUUUUGUUUAAAAUGUCUGAUCCUUGGGCUAUGAAGUCUUAUGCUCAUUGGUGCCUGCUGCCGACUUGUUGAGUUAUUGCGUCAUCCAUCUCCUACUGUACUCAUUCCUGCCCUCCGCACGGUUGGCAAUAUCGUCACUGGAGAUGAUCGUCAGACCCAGUGUAUCAUUUAACUUCAACCGCUUCCCUGCCUCAUGAACCUGUGGACACAACCUUAAAAAGAGUAUCAAGAAAGAAGCUUGCACCAAAAACCAGAUUUAGUCCGUGAUAGUUGCUGAUAUUAUUGGUCCUCUAAUCCAUCUCCUUCAAAAUGCUGAGUUUGAUAUCAAAAAGGAAGCUGCUUGGGCAAUCUCAAAUGCAACUUCUGUGGGAUCCCAUGAGCAGAUCAAGUACUUCGUGGAUGUAUCAAACCACUGUGCGAUCUUCUAAUAUGCCCUGAUGCUAGGAUUGUUACUGUCUGUUUGGAAGAUCUCGAGAAUAUUCUGAUAGUUGGUGAGGCUGAGAAGACCAUUGGCAACACUGAUGAUGUGAACUUGUAUGCUCAUAUGAUUGAUGAGGCAGAGGAAUUGGAGAAGAUUGAAAACUUACAGAGUCACGACAACACUGAGAUAUAUGAGCAGGCGGUGAAAAUUCUUGAGACUUACUAGUUGGAGGAGGAAGAUGAAAUGCCUCCUCCAGGUGAUGCUGCCCAAACAGAGUUCCAUUGUGGAGGGACCCAGCCCCAACUUCCUUCUGAUGGAUUUAACUUCGGCCAAAGGUAUACUAUUCUGAUCAGUUGGGCAGCUCAGUUCAUCUUUUUGCUGGUUUUGGUUUAUUUCAUUGUGUGUAGGUUAGUUUCCACCAAUUGUAAGAACAUAAAUUUUUAAGAACUUAAAAUUGGUGUGGAUUCAGUGAUUGUGUAGAAUUUUUUGGGGUUUUGACCCAAGUCUCGGCUCAAUUCACAUGUGAAUUCAGUUUGUACAACAAAUUUCAGAUUUGAAUUCAAUGGUGAAUGUUUUGAUUAGUUUAUGA
Long non-coding RNA from Papaver somniferum (opium poppy), 1964 nucleotides. RefSeq lists it as uncharacterized. NCBI's taxonomy places the organism in Eukaryota, Viridiplantae, Streptophyta, Magnoliopsida, Ranunculales, Papaveraceae. The record is from RefSeq and is a predicted model, not a curated record. The transcript is spliced from 11 exons.